RNAcentral lists this ribosomal RNA (497 nucleotides) under uncultured bacterium. RNAcentral describes it as "partial 16S ribosomal RNA". It matches the Rfam family "Bacterial small subunit ribosomal RNA", at positions 28 to 507 of the family's 1533-position model. The record is from RNAcentral.
GAUGAACGCUGGCGGCGUGCCUAAUACAUGCAAGUCGAGCGAACAGACGAGGAGCUUGCUCCUUCGACGUUAGCGGCGGACGGGUGAGUAACACGUAGGUAACCUACCUAUAAGACUGGGAUAACUUCGGGAAACCGGAGCUAAUACCGGAUAAUAUUUCGAACCGCAUGGUUCGAGAGUGAAAGAUGGCUUUGCCAUCACUUAUAGAUGGACCUGCGCCGUAUUAGCUAGUUGGUAAGGUAACGGCUUACCAAGGCAACGAUACGUAGCCGACCUGAGAGGGUGAUCGGCCACACUGGAACUGAGACACGGUCCAGACUCCUACGGGAGGCAGCAGUAGGGAAUCUUCCGCAAUGGGCGAAAGCCUGACGGAGCAACGCCGCGUGAGUGAUGAAGGUCUUCGGAUCGUAAAACUCUGUUAUUAGGGAAGAACAAACGUGUAAGUAACUGUGCACGUCUUGACGGUACCUAAUCAGAAAGCCACGGCUAACUACGUG